UGACGGCUGAGUGUCUACAUCAAUUAUU
Molecule: non-coding RNA, 28 nt
Filed under: Homo sapiens (human)
Lineage: Eukaryota; Metazoa; Chordata; Mammalia; Primates; Hominidae
Source: RNAcentral